UGGGGAAUUUUGGACAAUGGGGGAAACCCUGAUCUAGCCAUCCCGCGUGUGCGAUGAAGGCCUUCGGGUUGUAAAGCACUUUUGGCAGGAAAGAAACGUCAUGGGUUAAUACCCCGUGAAACUGACGGUACCUGCAGAAUAAGCACCGGCUAACUACGUGCCAGCAGCCGCGGUAAUACGUAGGGUGCAAGCGUUAAUCGGAAUUACUGGGCGUAAAGCGUGCGCAGGCGGUUCGGAAAGAAAGAUGUGAAAUCCCAGAGCUCAACUUUGGAACUGCAUUUUUAACUACCGGGCUAGAGUGUGUCAGAGGGGGGUGGAAUUCCGCGUGUAGCAGUGAAAUGCGUAGAUAUGCGGAGGAACACCGAUGGCGAAGGCAGCCUCCUGGGAUAACACUGACGCUCAUGCACGAAAGCGUGGGGAGCAAACAGG
This 429-nucleotide ribosomal RNA is filed under the name Acidobacteriota bacterium. RNAcentral describes it as "Acidobacteria bacterium partial 16S ribosomal RNA". It matches the Rfam family "Bacterial small subunit ribosomal RNA", at positions 355 to 776 of the family's 1533-position model. Lineage: Bacteria; Pseudomonadati; Acidobacteriota. The record is from RNAcentral.